This is a long non-coding RNA of Paramisgurnus dabryanus, 741 nucleotides long. RefSeq lists it as uncharacterized. The record is from RefSeq and is a predicted model, not a curated record. NCBI's taxonomy places the organism in Eukaryota, Metazoa, Chordata, Actinopteri, Cypriniformes, Cobitidae.
CUGUUGUUAUAAUAUUUCUUUUUGACUGAAUACAUGUUUGUUUUAUUUGUCUAUAUCUUAGAUUCGCAGCUGGACACAUCCUUCUACACUGUAUGCAAACAUGCAACAUCAUAACACACAGUACAAGGAGUCAGACUGGCAUAUGAGGAGCAAAGGAACCCAGACAGUAGCAUCGUUUCACAAUGUUUCCAUCACCAUCAUCAGUGGAUGCCUUUGCCGUCCGUAGCCUGAGAUUUCAGAUUUGCAGCAAAAAAAUUUGAUUUUCUCAUUUAUUGGAAUGCUAUGCAGGUUGUACCUUGCAGCCAUCCAUUACAAUGUCACCAAGCCGUAACAAAAGCAGGAGAGGGAAAGUACAAGGCUAUGUUCCCAAAACACACAAAUGACAUACCUUAUGUGGAUGAUGUGAUCAGGCUUGUGUUUGCUGAGGUAUUUGAAGAUAAGCUGAAGGAAACCCCGAUUCCAAUGGACCUGGCAUCACAGUUUGAGAGACCUUCAAAGGAGGAAGUGAUUGCAUGCCAUCUUCAGUGCAGGGGUCGUCGGAAGCCAACAUUCCGAUCAGGAAGCUCCAAGCGUAUCUGGAGAACAACACACGACAGGAUGAUAACCCUAAAGUGUCAUCUUAGAUAGCAUCAGCUGACAAAGCUUUGAUAUGCCAUUUAUCUGAAUAGAUAGCUGUAAGAAGUGAAUUGAACAAUUUUUGAAAGAAGAGCACAAUAUGGUUACUAAAGUAUGUUUAUUUGU